RNAcentral lists this ribosomal RNA (1337 nucleotides) under uncultured bacterium. RNAcentral describes it as "bacterial SSU rRNA". It matches the Rfam family "Bacterial small subunit ribosomal RNA", at positions 28 to 1382 of the family's 1533-position model. The record is from RNAcentral.
GGCCAACCCCUGCCGCCCCCCCUACACCUUCCAAUUCAAACAACCAAAAAAAACCUUGGCUUCCCCAACCAAUUGCCAACCGGUUAAUUACCCCUUGAGAACCCGCCCCCAAAAAGGGGAACACCAUUUGAAACCAACGGCUAUUCCCCCAUAACCCCCCGGCUCGCCUCCAACCAAAGGGAAAAGGACCAUCCCCCUUUGAGAUGGGCCUCCGCGUCCGAUUAGCUAGUUGGUGAGGUAACGGCCCACCAAGGCGACGAUCGGUAGCCGGACUGAGAGGUUGAACGGCCACAUUGGGACUGAGACACGGCCCAGACUCCUACGGGAGGCAGCAGUGGGGAAUAUUGCACAAUGGGGGAAACCCUGAUGCAGCGACGCCGCGUGGAGGAAGAAGGUCUUCGGAUUGUAAACUCCUGUUGUUGAGGAAGAUAAUGACGGUACUCAACAAGGAAGUGACGGCUAACUACGUGCCGGCAGCCGCGGUAAAACGUAGGUCACAAGCGUUGUCCGGAAUUACUGGGUGUAAAGGGAGCGCAGGCGGGAAGACAAGUUGGAAGUGAAAUCCAUGGGCUCAACCCAUGAACUGCUUUCAAAACUGUUUUUCUUGAGUAGUGCAGAGGUAGGCGGAAUUCCCGGUGUAGCGGUGGAAUGCGUAGAUAUCGGGAGGAACACCAGUGGCGAAGGCGGCCUACUGGGCACCAACUGACGCUGAGGCUCGAAAGUGUGGGUAGCAAACAGGAUUAGAUACCCUGGUAGUCCACACUGUAAACGAUGAUUACUAGGUGUUGGAGGAUUGACCCCUUCAGUGCCGCAGUUAACACAAUAAGUAAUCCACCUGGGGAGUACGACCGCAAGGUUGAAACUCAAAGGAAUUGACGGGGGCCCGCACAAGCAGUGGAGUAUGUGGUUUAAUUCGACGCAACGCGAAGAACCUUACCAAGUCUUGACAUCCCUUGACGAUGCUGGAAACAGUAUUUCUCUUCGGAGCAAGGAGACAGGUGGUGCAUGGUUGUCGUCAGCUCGUGUCGUGAGAUGUUGGGUUAAGUCCCGCAACGAGCGCAACCCUUAUGGUCAGUUACUACGCAAGAGGACUCUGGCCAGACUGCCGUUGACAAAACGGAGGAAGGUGGGGAUGACGUCAAAUCAUCAUGCCCUUUAUGACUUGGGCUACACACGUACUACAAUGGCGUUAAACAAAGAGAAGCAAGACCGCGAGGUGGAGCAAAACUCAGAAACAACGUCCCAGUUCGGACUGCAGGCUGCAACUCGCCUGCACGAAGUCGGAAUUGCUAGUAAUCGCAGAUCAGCAUGCCGCGGUGAAUACGUUCCCGGGUCUU